UAGAGUUUGAUCAUGGCUCAGAUUGAACGCUGGCGGCAGGCUUAACACAUGCAAGUCGAGCGGUAACAGGAAUAGCUUGCUAUUUGCUGACGAGCGGCGGACGGGUGAGUAAUGCUUGGGAAUAUGCCUUAUGGUGGGGGACAACAGUUGGAAACGACUGCUAAUACCGCAUAAUGUCUACGGACCAAAGGGGGGGAUCUUCGGACCUCUCGCCAUUUGAUUAGCCCAAGUGAGAUUAGCUAGUUGGUAAGGUAACGGCUUACCAAGGCGACGAUCUCUAGCUGGUUUGAGAGGAUGAUCAGCCACACUGGGACUGAGACACGGCCCAGACUCCUACGGGAGGCAGCAGUGGGGAAUAUUGCACAAUGGGGGAAACCCUGAUGCAGCCAUGCCGCGUGUGUGAAGAAGGCCUUCGGGUUGUAAAGCACUUUCAGUUGUGAGGAAAGGUGUGUAGUUAAUAGCUGCAUACUGUGACGUUAACAACAGAAGAAGCACCGGCUAACUUCGUGCCAGCAGCCGCGGUAAUACGAGGGGUGCAAGCGUUAAUCGGAAUUACUGGGCGUAAAGCGUUCGUAGGCGGUUGAAUAAGCAAGAUGUGAAAGCCCAGGGCUCAACCUUGGAACUGCAUUUUGAACUGUUCGACUAGAGUACUGUAGAGGGGGGUAGAAUUUCA
This 673-nucleotide ribosomal RNA is filed under the name uncultured Vibrionaceae bacterium. Its description in RNAcentral is "bacterial SSU rRNA". It matches the Rfam family "Bacterial small subunit ribosomal RNA", at positions 1 to 671 of the family's 1533-position model. Lineage: Bacteria; Pseudomonadati; Pseudomonadota; Gammaproteobacteria; Vibrionales; Vibrionaceae. The record is from RNAcentral.